This is a long non-coding RNA of Triticum aestivum (bread wheat), 2567 nucleotides long. RefSeq lists it as uncharacterized. The transcript is spliced from 4 exons. The record is from RefSeq and is a predicted model, not a curated record. Lineage: Eukaryota; Viridiplantae; Streptophyta; Magnoliopsida; Poales; Poaceae.
GAUGUUCUGCCGAGCAGACGCUCCAUGGUCUGUCAAUUUCCAUCCCCGAUCCGCGCCCGCAGCUCCGGAUUUUCGGAUUGAUUCCACCGGAAUCGUGGCUCCUCGACCCAUUUUUAUUUGGCCCCACAUCGGAAAGAACGGAUCCGCAGCAACCUUGCCCACCAUGGAGGCGGUGAUAGCGGCGGCGGAAGAGAGCGUGCGUGCCAAUGGGGCUACGAAGACGUUGGUCGUGGCCGAGGACGGGCGAUAUCACCAGGGCGACAACAAUUACGGCGGCGGCAACAACCAUGGCGGCCUGCAGUGAGCGUAGCAACUACGGCGGCCGCGGCGGCCGAGGAGGAGGAGGAGGAGGCCAGAGUCAGCCGCCCCCGACAUGCACCAAGCCGCACUGCCGCAGGGCCUCCCCUCUUCGAGCGCUACCACGCAGAGGCAACACAGCUCGGGAAGAAGUCCCAGGCGAUGGACAUCAGUCGUGCCGCUGUAGAUCCAAUCGACCGGCGAUGGAGCAGUUAUUGGCGUUCCUCCGCGCGGCACCAGAUUUUGAAUUCAGUGUGGUAGAGAACACCCACAAAAUCAUCACAAGGAUUCAUGAACCUACUUUCGAAUGGAAGAAAUGUGAUGUUCAAUUGCCAUUAACCCGAUCGGUCUCUUGCAUGGGGAAGGGGAGACCGAGGAGGAAAUGGCGACCAAGAGGUGUGCAGGCACCCUGGGUGACAAGGGCCUCAGGGGGGAGAAGGUGUUCCUUAGUGCCGAUCUGAACGUUCUGCUGGACGACGGCCUGAACAUCACUGGUGACAACCGCAUCCGCGCCUCCAUGCCGUCCAUCAAGUUCCUCAUGGGGAAGGGCGCCAAGGUUGUCCUGGCCAACCAUCUGGUGAGCGCACGCUUCUGCCAUUCAGUCAGCCUCCCGUGUGGCGCACGACUGUAGCUGCUUGAUGUCGUGAGCAACACCACCGGAUGGCCCAGCCACCCCUUCAUCGCAGACCUCGCUGAAGACUAACCAACUAGACGCAGAUCCAUUUCAUUCUACUAAGUGUCCCAGGCUGUGUAUGCUAGCCUCCUCCGCUACAUUUGCAGGCCGCCGAGUCCAACUCCUCUGCGGUGCAGAUCACCCGCCCACCGCGCUGCGCAAUUCACGAUGCAGGCGGCCCUCCUCCACGGUGAGGUAUCGAUAUUAAUUUAAUUCAGAGUCUGUUUUGGUGUGUUUGGAGUGUGGAUGGUAAGAUGAUGUGCUCAAAUAGAAUUAGAAGAGCAGGCAUAUCCAUAUGGUGGUACUUUUUUCAUAAUAAAUGGUGGUGGUGCUAAUUAACUAUUGGCUCUUAGUUUGAUUCAGAGUCUAGGUGCACUGCUAGAAACUUACUUUAGCAAUUUCGCAAAGAAAAAUCGACUUUUUGUUCAGCUGUUUGAACUUACUUUUCAUAUAUGCUGAUCACGGUUUAAUUUCAAAAUGAAAAGAGAAUCCAAUCCAUACUGUGCUAUAGUAUUUUUUGGUGUAAACUAAUUCAAGAGUACUACUUGAAAUCUGAUGGGGAAUACUGAUGAUGCGUCAUUUUGGACUAAUCUUCUUAACUGAGUCCAAAUUUAAAUGCCCUAGAGGCCGUAACACUAGGAUGACUUACUCCUUUCAGCAUCUAACAUUUAUUACCAAAAAAAACUGAGAAAACUCCAGUUAUGGUGAUCAUGUAGGCAUGAGCCCCUGUGUUCUGGACAACUAAGGUUACAUGCAAAAUUACCUGAUCAUGUAGCAAUUCGGAUUUAGACGCAUGCAUUUAGAUUGGGUGGUGAAGCGAGCCCGCCAUUUUAUUUCUCUGAAAGAACUAUACAAUGAUCUUUGGCUAUUGCUUUCAGUAUUACAGUGACAACCUUUCUAUGGUAUUUUGUUGGACAACUUUUUGUGUAAUGUCUGGCACCUCAAUAUACGUUAAAUAAGUGCAAGCUUGGGUAUAUAUUUUUCUCUCUCUCAUGUUGUAUUCAUUUUAUUUGCUCUGCUACUUUGGGUAAAUAGAAUCACGCACAAGCUCCAGUUAGUUCCUUAUUUUGUCUGUUUCAGACUUAGGAUUGUAGGGAAAAGUGUGAACUAUGAAUUCAUACCAGAACUGGAUUGGCCAUGGCACGUCUUCACCGACGAGUCAUGACGUCGACAACAAUAUUGAAGAUUUCCCGUUUCCUUUAUUUUCAAGCAUCUCUCAAAAGUAUAAUAUAUGCAGGUUCAUCAUUCAUGCGAGGGAUAUGAAAGAUGAAACAAAAGUAAAAGGUGUUUAUGCCUACGGGCUAUGGAGCAUCAUAAUGUUGGAGGAGUGUCAUGCCGAUUUUAUAAAUCCAGUAGCAUCCUACUACUCGCAGUUUCUGUGGUUCAAUCAAAUCAAUAGUACAAUUUUCAAAUGAUAAAUUUGUUAUGGUUAGAUAUAAUUUUUGAAGUUUCGAGGUUUUGUGAGAUGAGAUGAUGGCUCAUAUAUGUCAUUUUGGCAAAAGUCCCACUACGGUCAUAUCUUGUAGUUCAAUUAGAUAAUGCAGUUUUCAAAUGAUACGUGAUAUGGUGAUAUGCUUUUAUUUAUGUAUUUCCUAUA